CGGGGCGUGGCGCAGCCUGGUUAGCGCGCUGGACUGGGGGUCCAGAGGUCGCCGGUUCAAAUCCGGCCGCCCCGACCA
Molecule: transfer RNA, 78 nt
Filed under: Armatimonadota bacterium
Lineage: Bacteria; Bacillati; Armatimonadota
Description: Armatimonadetes bacterium (oil production facility metagenome) tRNA-Pro
Rfam family: tRNA
About the family: Transfer RNA (tRNA) molecules are approximately 80 nucleotides in length. Their secondary structure includes four short double-helical elements and three loops (D, anti-codon, and T loops).
Source: RNAcentral